Molecule: ribosomal RNA, 194 nt
Filed under: uncultured Anoxybacillus sp.
Lineage: Bacteria; Bacillati; Bacillota; Bacilli; Caryophanales; Anoxybacillaceae
Description: partial 16S ribosomal RNA
Rfam family: Bacterial small subunit ribosomal RNA
Source: RNAcentral
ACAUCAUGCCCCUUAUGACCUGGGCUACACACGUGCUACAAUGGGCGGUACAAAGGGUCGCGAACCCGCGAGGGGGAGCCAAUCCCAAAAAGCCGCUCUCAGUUCGGAUUGCAGGCUGCAACUCGCCUGCAUGAAGAUGGAGUUGCUAGUAACCGCAGGUCAGCUAUACUGCGGUGAAUACGUUCCCGGGGCUU